Molecule: ribosomal RNA, 429 nt
Filed under: bacterium
Lineage: Bacteria
Description: partial 16S ribosomal RNA
Rfam family: Bacterial small subunit ribosomal RNA
Source: RNAcentral
UGGGGAAUCUUCCGCAAUGGACGAAAGUCUGACGGAGCAACGCCGCGUGAGUGAUGACGGCCCUCGGGUUGUAAAGCUCUGUUAAUCGGGACGAAUGGUUCUUGUGCAAAUAGUGCGAGGAUUUGACGGUACCGGAAUAGAAAGCCACGGCUAACUACGUGCCAGCAGCCGCGGUAAUACGUAGGUGGCAAGCGUUGUCCGGAAUUAUUGGGCGAAAAGCGCGCGCAGGCGGAUUGGUCAGUCUGUCUUAAAAGUUCGGGGCUUAACCCCGUGAUGGGAUGGAAACUGCCAAUCUAGAGUAUCGGAGAGGAAAGUGGAAUUCCUAGUGUAGCGGUGAAAUGCGUAGAUAUUAGGAAGAACACCAGUGGCGAAGGCGACUUUCUGGACGAAAACUGACGCUGAGGCGCGAAAGCCAGGGGAGCGAACGGG